CACAUGCUAUCGGAUGCGCCUACGUGGGAUUAGCUAGUUGGUGAGGUAAUGGCUCACCAAGGCGACGAUCCCUAGCUGGUUUGAGAGGAUGAUCAGCCACACUGGAACUGAGACACGGUCCAGACUCCUACGGGAGGCAGCAGUGGGGAAUAUUGGACAAUGGGCGCAAGCCUGAUCCAGCCAUGCCGCGUGUGUGAAGAAGGCCUUCGGGUUGUAAAGCACUUUCAGUUGGGAGGAAGGGUUGUGUGUUAAUAGUACACAGCCUUGACGUUACCAACAGAAGAAGCACCGGCUAACUCUGUGCCAGCAGCCGCGGUAAUACAGAGGGUGCAAGCGUUAAUCGGAAUUACUGGGCGUAAAGCGCACGUAGGCGGUUUUUUAAGUCAGAUGUGAAAGCCCCGGGCUCAACCUGGGAAUUGCAUUUGAAACUGGAAAACUAGAGUGUGUGAGAGGGGGGUAGAAUUCCAAGUGUAGCGGUGAAAUGCGUAGAGAUUUGGNAGNGAAUACCAGUGGCGAAGGCGGCCCCCUGGCACAACACUGACGCUCAGGUGCGAAAGCGUGGGGAGCAAACAGGAUUAGAUACUCUGGUAGUCCACGCCGUAAACGAUGUCUACUAGCUGUUCGUGACCUUGUGUCGUGAGUAGCGCAGCUAACGCACUAAGUAGACCGCCUGGGGAGUACNGNGUCGCAAGAUUAAAACUCAAAUGAAUUGACGGGGGCCCGCACAAGCGGUGGAGCAUGUGGUUUAAUUCGACGCAACGCGAAGAACCUUACCUACUCUUGACAUCCAGAGAAGACUGCGGAGAUGCGGUUGUGCCUUCGGGAACUCUGAGACAGGUGCUGCAUGGCUGUCGUCAGCUCGUGUUGUGAAAUGUUGGGUUAAGUCCCGCAACGAGCGCAACCCUUAUCCUUAGUUGCCAGCACGUAAUGGUGGGAACUCUAGGGAGACUGCCGGUGAUAAACCGGAGGAAGGUGGGGACGACGUCAAGUCAUCAUGGCCCUUACGAGUAGGGCUACACACGUGCUACAAUGGUAUGUACAGAGGGAGGCAAGCUGGCGACAGUGAGCGGAUCUCUUAAAGCAUAUCGUAGUCCGGAUCGCAGUCUGCAACUCGACUGCGUGAAGUCGGAAUCGCUAGUAAUCGCAAAUCAGAAUGUUGCGGUGAA
Molecule: ribosomal RNA, 1166 nt
Filed under: uncultured Rheinheimera sp.
Lineage: Bacteria; Pseudomonadati; Pseudomonadota; Gammaproteobacteria; Chromatiales; Chromatiaceae
Description: bacterial SSU rRNA
Rfam family: Bacterial small subunit ribosomal RNA
Source: RNAcentral